This is a non-coding RNA of Phoenix dactylifera (date palm), 1030 nucleotides long. The record is from RefSeq and is a predicted model, not a curated record. NCBI's taxonomy places the organism in Eukaryota, Viridiplantae, Streptophyta, Magnoliopsida, Arecales, Arecaceae.
UCCGUCUGGAAAGAGCGGAAGCGAUGGAAACGAAGAAACCCUAAAAGACGAAUCCUUGGAGAGAGGAUAUGGAGGGGAAUAUCCGAUGGUAAAAAACUGCCACUCAUGGAGAAGUAAAAGCUGAAAGAGCUAUCAUACCGAUUCUGCAGGUCCCACAUGAGAAUUUUGCUACUUCACUGGGACUCAAUGAUGCUUCUUGGCUCAUUGAUGAUAUGCAACAAAGAAGAAAAGACCAACUCAGGGACUCUCCUCUAAUGGGAGCUUUAGAUUGUGCCUUUUGAGCUUGCACACUACCGUUCAAUGAGUCUGAAUUGAGGCUUGCUUCUAGCAUUCGCUUGCUGGUUUCCCUUGUAGGAAGGGAGGAAUUUGAUAAAAUGAAGCAUCAAGGAUAGAAGAUGAACCUUUUGGUUCUCAAUCUUUUUGUCAACAUUAGCUUUCCAUCUCCUAACGGAGUAGACUGGAUGUCCCCGAAACAUGGUUAAAAAAUGUUAUCCUAUGGGCCUAAUAACCCUGGUACCAGAAAAUAAGUUUGAUCACUGCCCAGCCGACGAAGCGGCCAACAUGAACUCAUUACUGUAGGACUAUGGUUACUUGGAGGUAACUUUUCGUUAUAUCCGAAAGAUCUCAUUAGAAGUGUGUCCAACGUCGGAAAAGGUGUCUGUUUCAGCCCAGACGAAGGAAGUGCGUUACCUCCUUGGUAUAUUGCGUUGGCUUGUGAAGUACGGGUCUGAACUGGACUGCAAAGAGAUACUUAAUUUGAGUUAUGAAUUCGUUAUUUGGCUUGGGAAGGUGUAAUUUCUAACUUUUAUCUGAAGUGGGGAAACCUCUUGUAUGUAGGAGCAACUCCUCAGCUGGACGUCUCCAAUUUUAGUAUGUACCAACCAAGUCCUCGGUUGGGAUGGUUCCAGUUUGCAGUUUUGGAGUUAAACCAUUUGUAAUAUAUUCCCACCUAUCUGUAAUUGAUCACUAUGUAUAUUGACCACUUAACCUUUUUAAGUAGUUUGAUGCUUUAAAUACAUGAUAAUUUCUA